AGCAGCCGCGGUAAUUCCAGCUCCAAUAGCGUAUAUUAAAGUUGCUGCAGUUAAAAAGCUCGUAGUUGAAUUUCGGGACUAAUAUGUCGGUCGUGCCUCGGUACGUACUGGUUUAUUGGUUUCUCCUUUCUGAAGAACCAUGAUGUCAUUUAUUUGGUGUCGUGGGGAAUCAGGACUGUUACUUUGAAAAAAUUAGAGUGUUUAAAGCAGGCUCACGCUUGAAUACAUUAGCAUGGAAUAAUGAAAUAGGACGUUUGAUUCUAUUUUGUUGGUUUCUAGGAUCGACGUAAUGAUUAAUAGGGAUAGUUGGGGGCAUUAGUAUUCAAUUGUCAGAGGUGAAAUUCUUGGAUUUAUUGAAGACUAACUACUGCGAAAGCAUUUGCCAAGGAUGUUUUCAUUAAUCAAGAACGAAAGUUAGGGGAUCGAAGACGAUCAGAUACCGUCGUAGUCUUAACCAUAAACUAUGCCGACUAGGGAUCGGAUGAUGUUAAUUUUUAAUGACUCAUUCGGUGCCUUAAC
This 519-nucleotide ribosomal RNA is filed under the name uncultured Glomus. Its description in RNAcentral is "SSU rRNA". It matches the Rfam family "Eukaryotic small subunit ribosomal RNA", at positions 569 to 1092 of the family's 1831-position model. The record is from RNAcentral. Lineage: Eukaryota; Fungi; Glomeromycota; Glomeromycetes; Glomerales; Glomeraceae.